Small nucleolar RNA from Dioscorea cayenensis subsp. rotundata (Guinea yam), 76 nucleotides. RefSeq annotates it as small nucleolar RNA R160. The transcript has a single exon. The record is from RefSeq and is a predicted model, not a curated record. Lineage: Eukaryota; Viridiplantae; Streptophyta; Magnoliopsida; Dioscoreales; Dioscoreaceae.
GGCAAGAUGAUGAGCUAAUGUGCCCUGAAAUCUCAUGUGGAUAGUAAAUUAUGGCCUUCAAAGUUAUCUGAUUGCU